This 264-nucleotide ribosomal RNA is filed under the name uncultured bacterium. RNAcentral describes it as "partial 16S ribosomal RNA". It matches the Rfam family "Bacterial small subunit ribosomal RNA", at positions 793 to 1055 of the family's 1533-position model. The record is from RNAcentral.
GUCCACGCCGUAAACGAUGGGCACUAGGUGCUUUGGGGAGCUACCCUCAGGGUACCGGCGCUAACGCAUGAAGUGCCCCGCCUGGGGAGUACGGCCGCAAGGCUGAAACUCAAAGGAAUUGACGGGGCCCGCACAAGCGGUGGUGCAUGUGGUUUAAUUCGACGCAACGCGCAGAACCUUACCUAGGCUUGACAUGCAUGGGAAAGCUGGUGGAAACACCGGCCCCUCUUCGGAGCCCAUGCACAGGUGCUGCAUGGCUGUCGU